This 1254-nucleotide ribosomal RNA is filed under the name metagenome. Its description in RNAcentral is "bacterial LSU rRNA". It matches the Rfam family "Bacterial large subunit ribosomal RNA", at positions 1678 to 2925 of the family's 2925-position model. The record is from RNAcentral.
UUUCUAAGGCGCUUGAGAGAACUCAGGAGAAGGAACUCGGCAAAAUAGCACCGUAACUUCGGGAAAAGGUGUGCCCUUUGUAUGUGUAGCGCCUCGCGCGUGAAGCAGAAUAGGGUUGCAAUGAAAUGGUGGCUGCGACUGUUUAAUAAAAACAUAGCACUCUGCAAACACGAAAGUGGACGUAUAGAGUGUGACGCCUGCCCGGUGCCGGAAGGUUAAAUGAUGGGGUGCAAGCUCUUGAUUGAAGCCCCGGUAAACGGCGGCCGUAACGAUAACGGUCCUAAGGUAGCGAAAUUCCUUGUCGGGUAAGUUCCGACCUGCACGAAUGGCGUAACGAUGGCCACACUGUCUCCUCCUGGGACUCAGCGAAGUUGAAAUGUUUGUGAAGAUGCAAUCUCCCCGCGGCUAGACGGAAAGACCCCGUGCACCUUUACUGUAGCUUUACAUUGGACUUUGAUAACAUUUGUGUAGGAUAGGUGGGAGGCUUUGAAGUGGGUUCGCCAGAAUUCAUGGAGCCAACGUUGAAAUACCACCCUGAUGUUGUUGAGGUUCUAACCUAGAUCCAUUAUCUGGGGACCGUGUAUGGUAGGCAGUUUGACUGGGGCGGUCUCCUCCCAAAUUGUGACGGAGGAGUACGAAGGUACGCUAGGUACGGUCGGAAAUCGUGCUGAUAGUGCAAUGGCAAAAGCGUGCUUAACUGCGAGACUGACAAGUCGAGCAGAUGCGAAAGCAGGUCAUAGUGAUCCGGUGGUUCUGUAUGGAAGGGCCAUCGCUCAACGGAUAAAAGGUACGCCGGGGAUAACAGGCUGAUUCCUCCCAAGAGUUCAUAUCGACGGGGGAGUUUGGCACCUCGAUGUCGGCUCAUCACAUCCUGGGGCUGUAGCCGGUCCCAAGGGUAUGGCUGUUCGCCAUUUAAAGUGGUACGUGAGCUGGGUUUAAAACGUCGUGAGACAGUUUGGUCCCUAUCUGCCGUGGGCGUUGGAAGUUUGAGUGGACCUGCUCCUAGUACGAGAGGACCGGAGUGGACGCACCUCUGGUGUACCGGUUAUGACGCCAGUCGUAUCGCCGGGUAGCUAUGUGCGGAAGAGAUAACCGCUGAAAGCAUCUAAGCGGGAAACUCUCCUCAAGAUGAGACUUCCCGAGGGUUUAACCCUCCUAAAGGUUCGUCGAAGACUACGACGUUGAUAGGUCGGGUGUGGAAGCAUAGUGAUAUGUUAAGCUAACCGAUACUAAUUGACCGUGAGGCUUGAUCCU